This 370-nucleotide ribosomal RNA is filed under the name uncultured organism. RNAcentral's name for it is "partial 16S ribosomal RNA". It matches the Rfam family "Bacterial small subunit ribosomal RNA", at positions 527 to 896 of the family's 1533-position model. The record is from RNAcentral.
GGAGGGUGUAAGCGUUAUUCGGAAUUAUUGGGCGUAAGAGCACGUAGGCGGGUUUUUAAGUCAGAUGUGAAAGCCCGAGGCUUAACCUCGGAAGUGCAUUUGAAACUAAGAGACUUGAGUAUGGGAGAGGGAAGUGGAAUUCCUGGUGUAGAGGUGAAAUUCGUAGAUAUCAGGAGGAACACCGGUGGCGAAGGCGACUUCCUGGACCAAUACUGACGCUGAGGCGCGAAGGCGUGGGGAGCAAACAGGAUUAGAUACCCUGGUAGUCCACGCAGUAAACGGUGAACACUAGGUGUAGCGGGUAUUGACCCCUGCUGUGCCGAAGUUAACGCAUUAAGUGUUCCGCCUGGGGAGUACGACCGCAAGGUUA